UACGUAGGGACCAAGCGUUGUUCGGAUUUACUGGGCGUAAAGGGCGCGUAGGCGGCAUGACAAGUCACUUGUGAAAUCUCCGGGCUUAACUCGGAACGGCCAAGUGAAACUGUCAAGCUAGAGUGCGGAAGGGGCAAUCGGAAUUCUUGGUGUAGCGGUGAAAUGCGUAGAUAUCAAGAGGAACACCUGAGGUGAAGACGGGUUGCUGGGCCGACACUGACGCUGAUGCGCGAAAGCCAGGGGAGCAAACAGG
RNAcentral lists this ribosomal RNA (253 nucleotides) under uncultured bacterium. RNAcentral's name for it is "partial 16S ribosomal RNA". It matches the Rfam family "Bacterial small subunit ribosomal RNA", at positions 524 to 776 of the family's 1533-position model. The record is from RNAcentral.